RNAcentral lists this unclassified non-coding RNA (355 nucleotides) under soil metagenome. RNAcentral describes it as "partial contains 5.8S ribosomal RNA, internal transcribed spacer 2, and large subunit ribosomal RNA". The stretch from base 1 to 120 matches the Rfam family "5.8S ribosomal RNA", at positions 35 to 154 of the family's 154-position model. The record is from RNAcentral.
GAUGAAGAACGUAGCGAAAUGCGAUAAGUAAUGCGAAUUGCAGAAUCCGUGAGUCAUCGAAUCUUUGAACGCACAUUGCGCCCCUUGGUUAUUCCGAAGGGCAUGCCUGUUCGAGCGUCAUUAUCACCCCUCAAGCCCUGGCUUGGUGUUGGACUUUAGUUAUAGCUUUGCCUAUCAACUGGUCUCAAAAAUAGUGACGGCGCCCCAGAGGGAACCGGGUACGAGGAGCUUUUUACUAAGCAUGUAUCUGAGACGACUCUGAUGGGCGACGGUCUUGUUAUACUUUUUACCUAAGUGUUGACCUCGGAUCAGGUAGGAAUACCCGCUGAACUUAAGCAUAUCAAUAAGCGGAGGA